Long non-coding RNA from Mustela lutreola (European mink), 489 nucleotides. RefSeq lists it as uncharacterized. Lineage: Eukaryota; Metazoa; Chordata; Mammalia; Carnivora; Mustelidae. The record is from RefSeq and is a predicted model, not a curated record. The transcript is spliced from 3 exons.
ACACUUUGCAAGCUCUCCCUGGGGUCUCUAGAGUGUGUGCCCCUGCAUUAAUGGGGGACACAGAGGCACAACUGCCCACACCCAGGAGGCCAGUGGUUCAGCCCCUCAGCCCUGCUGGGCCAAUUAAUAAUUAAGCUGGAAAAGGGGUGAUGUGGCUAGAAGGCCUGCAGUGACCAGGGCCUGGCCUUGUUUGGCUUUGGUGACGUGAUGGCCCUGGGAUCAUGGCCUUCUUGAGCCCAUAAACAGGGGGUUGGGCCCCGAGACAGGCAAGGUCAGGCCAAGGGCCCUGCCAAAGUACUAUCUACAGAUUGACUCCCCUCCUCCCCCACUGAGGACGAAGGGGUGCUCCGGCCCCACUGCAAGGGAGUGAGGCUCCCGCGGCCCAGCUUAACAUAACGGGUACAUCUUUCCACAUCUCCAGCUAGACAGCAAAUCUUCAUUUUUCAUGUCUACACGGAGGCACCACAAUAAACAUCUUUUUGAUGCUGG